RNAcentral lists this ribosomal RNA (582 nucleotides) under Hypocreaceae sp. RNAcentral describes it as "partial 18S ribosomal RNA". The stretch from base 192 to 345 matches the Rfam family "5.8S ribosomal RNA". Lineage: Eukaryota; Fungi; Ascomycota; Sordariomycetes; Hypocreales; Hypocreaceae. The record is from RNAcentral.
UCAUUACCGAGUUUACAACUCCCAAACCCAAUGUGAACCAUACCAAACUGUUGCCUCGGCGGGGUCACGCCCCGGGUGCGUCGCAGCCCCGGAACCAGGCGCCCGCCGGAGGGACCAACCAAACUCUUUUCUGUAGUCCCCUCGCGGACGUUAUUUCUUACAGCUCUGAGCAAAAAUUCAAAAUGAAUCAAAACUUUCAAAAACGGAUCUCUUGGUUCUGGCAUCGAUGAAGAACGCAGCGAAAUGCGAUAAGUAAUGUGAAUUGCAGAAUACAGUGAAUCAUCGAAUCUUUGAACGCACAUUGCGCCCGCCAGUAUUCUGGCGGGCAUGCCUGUCCGAACGUCAUUUCAACCCUCGAACCCCUCCGGGGGGUCGGCGUUGGGGACCUCGGGAGCCCCUAAGACGGGAUCCCGGCCCCGAAAUACAGUGGCGGUCUCGCCGCAGCCUCUCCUGCGCAGUAGUUUGCACAACUCGCACCGGGAGCGCGGCGCGUCCACGUCCGUAAAACACCCAACUUCUGAAAUGGGACCCUCGGAUCACGUAGGAAUACCCGCUGAAAUUAAGCUUCAAAUAGGGGAAUCC